UUAUUUUUGCAAGUUCAUAAUUUAUGGAGAAUUCAAUCUGGCUUGGUGGGGUCGCUGGGACCCACAAGGAUUUCCGUUCUCUCUCUGUGUGCUUUUCUUCCUCUCUCCAGAAAAAUCACUCUCGCUCUCUCUCCCUUGCGUUGUCGAUAAACCCAGAAAAAAAAAGGAGCAAACCCUGCCGUUUCAUGGCGAGUUAAGACAAUCAACCGCCGCUAUCACCAUCUCCACCUCGCCACGAGUUCAAAGAUUCCAUUUUUGUUGGAAAACUCGAAGCGAAGUCCCGGACGCCUCCGACAUGAUCGCGAUUUUCUGGCGAGUUUCUCCCCGCUUGAAGCGUCGAUUCGAACAGGGGUUUUCCCCGAUUUCCGCCGAUAUCGGAGCCGGAUCCCGACUAUCCAGCCGUCCAUAGUAGCCCAAAUAUGUUGUUUGACAUCUCCGGUACAAGUUUAGUGCAUUGGUUGUGAGCUUUGGUUGAAAUUGGAGUUAAAUCGAAGCUGCAAAAUUCAAAAUUCCUUGAAGUUGCCGGCGUUUUUCUCCAGAAACCGGCGAGACUUUUCGGCGGCUAGGACCGGUUCACCGGAACUUAACGGCUCAGCCAGACCGGCGGUUGACGGUUCAUUUCGGUCGGACCCGGUUCGUCCGGUCCGGUCCGGUUCGUCCGGUCCGAUCCGGUUCGUCCGGUCCGGUUCGUCCGGUCCGAUCCGGUUCGUCCGGUCCGAUCCGGUUCGUCCGGUCCGACCCGGUUCGUCGGUCCGAUCCGGUUCGGUCGUCAGACCUUCCGGUUCGUCCGGUUCGGCUGCUCAGAACGGUUCGUACGGUUCGAGUGAUUAAAAUCUUAUUUCAGAAGCACAGACGAAGAUAAAUCAGCGCGCGCGCGCUCUCUCUCUCUCUCUCUCUCUCUCUCUCUCAAAUGAAGAUAAAUCACUACUCCCUCUCUAUUUUCUUCAACUCUGAAUCUGUCUCUGUGAAACCCGUUGGAAACCCUAAUCCAACUGUCGUGCUUUGUUGACAAAUAUGGCAGCACAGUUGUGUUUUUUACUCUGCUUCUCUGCAUCUUCUUGUCUUUUGAAUAUUUUAUAUAUUUGUCUCCGCUCAUUCAUUUGUAUUUUUUUUAAAACAACAUAUAUGAUCUUGUAUGCUAUGUCA
Molecule: long non-coding RNA, 1146 nt
Organism: Malus domestica (apple)
Lineage: Eukaryota; Viridiplantae; Streptophyta; Magnoliopsida; Rosales; Rosaceae
Source: RefSeq, a predicted model, not a curated record